UUUUUAGCAUACGUAUGUACCAUGAAAUAUCUGAGACAUACUUAUGCUAAAA
This 52-nucleotide microRNA precursor is filed under the name Marmota monax (woodchuck). Lineage: Eukaryota; Metazoa; Chordata; Mammalia; Rodentia; Sciuridae. The record is from RNAcentral.